CUAUAUAUGGAUAUUCUGUAUAUUCAGCUACUCCUUCGACAUUCUUGUGUCUCUAUAUUACUUGCUGAUAACCACACAUAAUUUGAUGCAAAUGUUACCAAUUUCAUUUCAUUUUAAUCUUAGUCUCUUUGUUAAGCGAACUUAGCCAUUCGUACAUAUUUUCUGUAAAUUUAGACUCGGAAAAUAGCAUUUUAUCGAAACAUGGUAUCUUAAUCUACUAAUAUAACAAUACAAAGAUUUUAUCAACCAAAACACACACAGGCAAAUCGUCUACAGUUGCUGGAAGUGCUAUGGGCCGCGAUUUAUGAUAACCUCCAAUUAUGGACUUAACAUAUUAACAUAGCAAAAUUUUCGUCCCUAAAUUUAGUUUAUACACCAAGAUUAGAAAAUAUUUCAGAACCAAUCCUUUACUCUUUAAAAAACAAAACAAAACAAUUGUGAUCCAGAAUAAAGCACUGUGCAAUAUCUGUUACAUUGCUGCAAGGACAUACUCAAAUACUCUACGUCAAUUUCAUAAAUAAUUACCCACAAAUCGCAAUGUCUAUAUCGUCAUUUACCACAACCUAAUACAGACUCAGCUAUUUUAAGUUAGCAAACAACUUAUUGUUACCGGCCUCUUGAUAAAAAGAUUUUAUCAUCUCUACCAUAUAUUAUACCUAACCACAACACUCCACACUAUUUCCCGUGUUUUCCCUGUAGAUGCAAAUUUAUUUAAACUCAAACUGAACGCCUACUGAAUGGACCACACAAUUUAGAGAAUCUAAGUACUUGAAGAUAUCAUUCAUUCCUUAUAUCUCGUUGCUAAAUUUAAGGAAAUAUCUCAACUUAUGAAAUAUAUUGACGUAUCGACAUAAAAAAUGAUGAUUAUAGAAGCAAGAAUUAAAAUCUCUGAAAUACACACGUGUUCUAAUUAUUCAUAAAAUUUUACUUCUGUAUAUGUAUAAAUUCAUUCUAAUAAAAGAACAUUAAAUUAAAUAUCAUAUAAUAUUAGAAACGGUAGGCAUAUAUAGUUAUUAAAAUAUCUCUUGAAUUAAUAUUAAUUUAAAACAAUGUUGCGCACGUGCAAUGCUUCAUAUGUUGUGUACUUUGUUGAUUAGUGUUGUUUUCUCUGAAAUUCGUUAUCAUUUUACGUUCCUAAUUUUGUAGCAAGCUUGAAUUCAUUUACUCUGUGUUUUGUGGAUUUUUUUUCGUUUUACUUACUUCAGAGAAAUUUUUCCUUUCCUUUAAAAUUACUUCUGACUGGUUGAUUAUUUUCAUAUUUUUCAAUCCAUUUAUUUGUCCAAAUAUAUUUGAUAUUUUGAUUUGAUUAUUUCCCAUAGCUUCGUUAAGAAGUCAUCUUGGAACACUGGAUGUGUAUAUAUAUAUAUAUAUAUAUAUAUAUAUAUAUAUAUAUAUAUAUAUAUAUAUAUAUAUGUAAGCUUCAUACUGCUUGCUACCAUCGCUUUCUCAACAGUCUAUCUACCUAUAUAUAGGCAUACUUAGAAAAGUAUCGGAAUUACAAUACAUUAUGGGUGGGUAAACGGGAUGUAUCAGUUUUGUAGCAGCAAAUAGUGCCGUUUCAGGCUUUUAAAACGCACACAGACACACUCAGACACACACACACACACACACACACACACACACACACACACACACACACACACACACACACACACACACACAACACACACACCCACAGAGUCGAAUAUUAUGAAAUUAUACACCAUGCAUACACACACACACAUAUAUAUAUACAUUCAUACAUAGGACAAGUAUUCGUUAUUAUUAUUAUUAUUAUUAUUAUUAUUACAGUUAUUAUAGCCCUCAUUAUUGUUAACUCUAAGGACUUUUAACCAUUGUGCCUACACCUUGCAACACUGCAACAGCGAAAAGAUGGAAAUUAAUAUAAAUAAAUAAUUUCAGCUUAGCUUUUAAAAUAAUUUAUAAAUAAAAAAACUGUUAUAUAAUAUUAGACCAACCCAGUAUAAGAUAUUUCACCAACUAGGAAACUUUCGAAAACAUGAACUUUAUUAUUGGUUAAAAUUAUCGGUUAAAAUCAAUAUUUUAUACAAGACUGAAACAAAGCGUUUGACGGUUGUUAUAUAUUUUCAAACGCUGCAAAUGUAUUUCCCUUGUAAGUAAAACAAUGUGUUGAUUUUGUUAAAAUUAUGUUAGUUUUAUAUUUUGAAACAAAUUUAUAUUCUUUCUUUAUAAUUUUUCUCUUUUUAAAUCGGGAUCAUUCAGAUUUUCUUUGAUUACACAUGGUACAAUAAGUGCAAUGUUUUAAAGAGGAGUUGCUUUUUUUUUUCUUCUAUUGGUAGAAUAUUUUGGUAAUUCCAUUUUCUUAAUUUGUUUCGCAAAUUCUAUUUUACUUUAUCAAUUUUUUUCUUUCUCUUCCUUCUCACAAUUUUGUAAUUAACAAUUUCGAUUACUUAAUCUGUGAUGCUUGAGAUUACAACUCAAAGAUCAUUGCUACAAGUAAUUGAUAAACCCAACAAAGAACAACGUUUUUGAAUUUCAUUGCGAUAAAGAGGAUUAUUAAAAUAUGAUAAAAACUUUA
This 2539-nucleotide long non-coding RNA is filed under the name Octopus sinensis (East Asian common octopus). RNAcentral's name for it is "uncharacterized LOC118764882, transcript variant X2". Lineage: Eukaryota; Metazoa; Mollusca; Cephalopoda; Octopoda; Octopodidae. The record is from RNAcentral.